GGGGAAUUUUGGACAAUGGGGGCAACCCUGAUCCAGCCAUCCCGCGUGUGCGAUGAAGGCCUUCGGGUUGUAAAGCACUUUUGGCAGGGAAGAAACGGCGCUGAUUAAUACUUGGCGCAACUGACGGUACCUGCAGAAUAAGCACCGGCUAACUACGUGCCAGCAGCCGCGGUAAUACGUAGGGUGCAAGCGUUAAUCGGAAUUACUGGGCGUAAAGCGUGCGCAGGCGGUUUGGAAAGAAAGAUGUGAAAUCCCAGAGCUUAACUUUGGAACUGCAUUUUUAACUGCCAAGCUAGAGUAUGUCAGAGGGGGGUAGAAUUCCACGUGUAGCAGUGAAAUGCGUAGAGAUGUGGAGGAAUACCGAUGGCGAAGGCAGCCCCCUGGGAUAAUACUGACGCUCAUGCACGAAAGCGUGGGGAGCAAAC
Molecule: ribosomal RNA, 425 nt
Filed under: uncultured bacterium
Lineage: Bacteria
Description: bacterial SSU rRNA
Rfam family: Bacterial small subunit ribosomal RNA
Source: RNAcentral